RNAcentral lists this ribosomal RNA (622 nucleotides) under uncultured fungus. RNAcentral describes it as "eukaryotic LSU rRNA". It matches the Rfam family "Eukaryotic large subunit ribosomal RNA", at positions 23 to 664 of the family's 3401-position model. The record is from RNAcentral. Lineage: Eukaryota; Fungi.
ACCCGCUGAACUUAAGCAUAUCAAUAAGCGGAGGAAAAGAAACCAACAGGGAUUACCUCAGUAACGGCGAGUGAAGCGGUAAUAGCUCAAAUUUGAAAUCUGGCUUCGGUCCGAGUUGUAAUUUGUAGAAGAUGCUUCGGGUGUGGCUCCGGUCUAAGUUCCUUGGAACAGGACGUCAUAGAGGGUGAGAAUCCCGUAUGUGACUGGAUGCCUCCGCCUAUGUGAAGCUCUUUCGACGAGUCGAGUUGUUUGGGAAUGCAGCUCAAAAUGGGUGGUAUAUUUCAUCUAAAGCUAAAUAUUGGCCAGAGACCGAUAGCGCACAAGUAGAGUGAUCGAAAGAUGAAAAGCACUUUGGAAAGAGAGUUAAACAGUACGUGAAAUUGUUGAAAGGGAAGCGUUUGCAAUCAGACUUGCACGUUGCCGAUCAUCUGGUGUUCUCACCAGUGCACUCGGUUUCGUUCAGGCCAGCAUCGGUUUGGGUGGUUGGAUAAAGGCCUUGGGAAUGUAGCUUCUUUCGGGGAGUGUUAUAGCCCUCGGUGCAAUGCAGCCUACCUGGACCGAGGACCGCGCUUCGGCUAGGAUGCUGGCGUAAUGAUUGUAAACGACCCGUCUUGAAACACGG